This 253-nucleotide ribosomal RNA is filed under the name uncultured bacterium. RNAcentral describes it as "partial 16S ribosomal RNA". It matches the Rfam family "Archaeal small subunit ribosomal RNA", at positions 474 to 727 of the family's 1478-position model. The record is from RNAcentral.
UACCAGCACCCCGAGUGGUCGGGACGAUUAUUGGGCCUAAAGCAUCCGUAGCCGGUCAUGCAAGUCUUCCGUUAAAUCCAGCCGCUCAACGGUUGGGCUGCGGAGGAUACUACGUGGCUAGGAGGCGGGAGAGGCAAGCGGUACUCAGUGGGUAGGGGUAAAAUCCUUUGAUCCAUUGAAGACCACCAGUGGCGAAGGCGGCUUGCCAGAACGCGCUCGACGGUGAGGGAUGAAAGCUGGGGGAGCAAUCCGG